AGAGUUUGAUCCUGGCUCAGGAUGAACGCUGGCGGCGUGCUUAACACAUGCAAGUCGAACGAUGAAGCUGGAGCUUGCUCCGGUGGAUUAGUGGCGAACGGGUGAGUAACACGUGAGCAAUCUGCCCUUGACUCUGGGAUAACUGCGGGAAACUGUAGCUAAUACCGGAUACGACGCCUUGGGGCAUCCCACGGGCGUGGAAAGAAUUUCGGUCAAGGAUGAGCUCGCGGCCUAUCAGCUAGUUGGUGAGGUAAUGGCUCACCAAGGCGACGACGGGUAGCCGGCCUGAGAGGGUGACCGGCCACACUGGGACUGAGACACGGCCCAGACUCCUACGGGAGGCAGCAGUGGGGAAUAUUGCGCAAUGGGCGAAAGCCUGACGCAGCAACGCCGCGUGAGGGAUGAAGGCCUUCGGGUUGUAAACCUCUUUUAUCAGGGAAGAAGCGAAAGUGACGGUACCUGAAGAAAAAGCACCGGCUAACUACGUGCCAGCAGCCGCGGUAAUACGUAGGGUGCAAGCGUUAUCCGGAAUUAUUGGGCGUAAAGAGCUCGUAGGCGGUUUGUCGCGUCUGCUGUGAAGAUCUGAGGCUCAACCUCGGACUUGCAGUGGGUACGGGCAGACUAGAGUGCGNNNNNNNGNNNNNGGAAUUC
Molecule: ribosomal RNA, 651 nt
Filed under: uncultured bacterium
Lineage: Bacteria
Description: bacterial SSU rRNA
Rfam family: Bacterial small subunit ribosomal RNA
Source: RNAcentral